UUAGAGUUUGAUCCUGGCUCAGGAUGAACGCUAGCGAUAGGCCUAACACAUGCAAGUCGAGGGGUAACAGGGUAGCAAUACCGCUGACGACCGGCAAAUGGGUGAGUAACGCGUAUGCAACCUACCGAUAACAGUUGGAUAGCUCCCUGAAAGGGGAAUUAAACCGGCAUGAUACUAUUUAAUCGCCUGUUUAGAUAGUUAAAUAUUUAUAGGUUAUCGAUGGGCAUGCGUGACAUUAGCAAGUUGGUGAGGUAACGGCUCACCAAUGCUACGAUGUCUAGGGGUUCUGAGAGGAAGGUCCCCCACACUGGUACUGAGACACGGACCAGACUCCUACGGGAGGCAGCAGUGAGGAAUAUUGGUCAAUGGACGGAAGUCUGAACCAGCCACUUCGCGUGCAGGAUGACUGCCCUAUGGGUUGUAAACUGCUUUUAUAUAAGAGGAACAGUAUUUAUGUAUAGAUAUUUGCCAGUAUUAUAUGAAUAAGGAUCGGCUAACUCCGUGCCAGCAGCCGCGGUAAUACGGAGGAUCCGAGCGUUAUCCGGAUUUAUUGGGUUUAAAGGGUGAGUAGGCGGUAGUAUAAGUCAGCGGUGAAAACUUGCAGCUCAACUGUAAGCUUGCCGUUGAAACUGUAUCACUUGAGUUAAGUUGAGGUAUGCGGAAUGUGGUGUGUAGCGGUGAAAUGCAUAGAUAUACCACAGAACGUCGAUUGCGAAGGCAGCAUACUAAGUUUAUACUGACGCUGAUGCACGAAAGCGUGGGGAUCAAACAGGAUUAGAUACCCUGGUAGUCCACGCCGUAAACUA
RNAcentral lists this ribosomal RNA (806 nucleotides) under uncultured bacterium. RNAcentral describes it as "bacterial SSU rRNA". It matches the Rfam family "Bacterial small subunit ribosomal RNA", at positions 1 to 809 of the family's 1533-position model. The record is from RNAcentral.